This 207-nucleotide ribosomal RNA is filed under the name uncultured bacterium. Its description in RNAcentral is "partial 16S ribosomal RNA". It matches the Rfam family "Bacterial small subunit ribosomal RNA", at positions 568 to 774 of the family's 1533-position model. The record is from RNAcentral.
CUCGUAGACGGUUCGUCGCGUCCGGUGUGAAAGUCCAUCGCUUAACGGUGGAUCCGCGCCGGGUACGGGCGGGCUUGAGUGCGGUAGGGGAGACUGGAAUUCCCGGUGUAACGGUGGAAUGUGUAGAUAUCGGGAAGAACACCAAUGGCGAAGGCAGGUCUCUGGGCCGUUACUGACGCUGAGGAGCGAAAGCGUGGGGAGCGAACA